Molecule: small nuclear RNA, 179 nt
Filed under: Brachypodium distachyon (stiff brome)
Lineage: Eukaryota; Viridiplantae; Streptophyta; Magnoliopsida; Poales; Poaceae
Description: snRNA U2
Rfam family: U2 spliceosomal RNA
About the family: U2 is a small nuclear RNA (snRNA) component of the spliceosome (involved in pre-mRNA splicing). Complementary binding between U2 snRNA (in an area lying towards the 5' end but 3' to hairpin I) and the branchpoint sequence (BPS) of the intron results the bulging out of an unpaired adenosine, on the BPS, which initiates a nucleophilic attack at the intronic 5' splice site, thus starting the first of two transesterification reactions that mediate splicing.
Source: Rfam by way of RNAcentral
AUACCCUUCUCGGCCUUUUGGGCUAAGAUCAAGUGUAGUAUCGAUAUGUGGACCAUAUGUCCACACCGAUAUUAAAUUUAUUUAUUUUUUAUGGCGGAGAGUCGGCAACAAUAGCUUGCUAUUGGGGCUCUCGUGUGUCGCCUGGUCGUUGCAUUGCUGACCGGGCCGGCGCACCCCAA